RNAcentral lists this ribosomal RNA (497 nucleotides) under uncultured bacterium. RNAcentral's name for it is "partial 16S ribosomal RNA". It matches the Rfam family "Bacterial small subunit ribosomal RNA", at positions 28 to 507 of the family's 1533-position model. The record is from RNAcentral.
GAUGAACGCUGGCGGCGUGCCUAAUACAUGCAAGUCGAGCGAACAGACGAUGAUCUUGCUCCUCUUACGUUAGCGGCGGACGGGUGAGUAACACGUGUAUAACCUACCUAUAAGUCUGGUAUAACUUCGGGAAACCGGAUCUAAUACCGUAUAACAUGUUGAACCGCAUGGUUCAACAGUGAAAUACGGUCUUUCUGUCUCUUAUAGAUGGAUCCGCGCUGCAUUAGCUAGUUGGUAAGUUAACGGCUUACCAAGGCAACGAUGCGUAGCCGACCUGAGAGGGUGAUCGGCGACACUGGAACUGAGACACGGUCCAGACUACUACGGGAGGCAGCAGUAGGGAAUCUUCCGCAAUGGGCGAAAGCAUGACGGAGCAACGCCACGUGAGUGAAGAAGGUCUUCGGAGCGUAAAACUCUGUUAUUAGGGAAGAACAAAUGUGUAAGUAACUAUGCACGUAUUGACGGUACCUAAUAAGAAAGCCACGGCUAACUACGUG